RNAcentral lists this transfer RNA (71 nucleotides) under Marmota monax (woodchuck). RNAcentral describes it as "tRNA.Pro". The record is from RNAcentral. Lineage: Eukaryota; Metazoa; Chordata; Mammalia; Rodentia; Sciuridae.
GGGGUUGUGGCUCAGUGGUAGAGCGCUCCCAUAGGAUGUGUGAGGCCCUGGGUUCAAUCUUCAGCACCACA